Peromyscus leucopus (white-footed mouse) is the source of this 615-nucleotide long non-coding RNA. RefSeq lists it as uncharacterized. The transcript is spliced from 2 exons. NCBI's taxonomy places the organism in Eukaryota, Metazoa, Chordata, Mammalia, Rodentia, Cricetidae. The record is from RefSeq and is a predicted model, not a curated record.
CCUCCAUGCUUCUGCAUCAGCUCCUGCCUCCAGGAUCCUGCCCUGUUUGAGUUCCUGUCCUGACUUCUUUCAUCAAUGAUGAACUAUGGUGUGAAAGUCUAUUACGCUCUCUGCCCUCUCUUCUGCAACAGUCCCUGGGCAUGGAGGGCUGACGGAGAUGUCCUGGUGUGGCCUGAGCAUACAACAGUCACUUACUCUCAGCUCUUGACCAGAAGGAACUUUGCAUCAGCAGUCACCACUGCAGAAGGGACUCCUCUGAAGAAGGCGGCCAGCAAGCAGCGCCAGUCAGAGCGUAUCAGAAGCCAGGCGACCUGCUGCAGUGUGUGCUCGCUGGUACAUCAGGGGCGCAGCUGUUUUGUGGGUAACCAAACCCUUUAGGUUGGACUUGAGGCCCUACUUCCUCUGGUAGUGUAAGCCUGUCCAGAAGAUAUUUCACCUUUUACCUUUCCAGGAUGCUUCACCGAAUGUAUCAUAGUGAAUGUUUUUAUAAUAUUUCAAAAUACAUUUAAUAAAAUGAGGUCUUUUAAUAAAAGCUCAAGUAUGAAAAAAUUGAAGGCAAAGAUUAAAUCAUGAUUUGCCACUCCAAUAAAGCUACAAUUGUUAUUUUGAUGUGUA